RNAcentral lists this long non-coding RNA (443 nucleotides) under Brassica napus (rape). RNAcentral describes it as "long non-coding RNA (BNAP_LNC007463)". The record is from RNAcentral. Lineage: Eukaryota; Viridiplantae; Streptophyta; Magnoliopsida; Brassicales; Brassicaceae.
AGCGGCGGAGGAUUUUGUCGGGGGCACGGAUGGUUUCGUCGAGGAGGCGGAGGAGACAGCAUCCUUGCCGUUAGGUUUCUUGGAGAGAAGAUCGCCGGAAGCGGAGUUCUUGCUGUUGGAAUUCAUCGGUUGAGAGAGUAUUGCGCGUAAUAAAACUGGGGGAAUGAUCGGGGUUAUAAAAGAAAUAAGAUAGAAGGAUGCGAAACGAACCCAUUAAUGGAGGUUUAAGGCAGAUCUGAUGGAGGAUUGAUUGAACAGUCACGAACCGAUUGACGGAAGAAAUGGAAAGGACAGAAGGAAUCAGAUCGUUGUCUGCGCAAGAGAAAAGAAUCUAGAGAUCGUCGAGACGGCUAGAGGAAGGUCUUGUCUGUUUUGCGUAAGUAACGGGCUUACGGGCCAACUCUGUAUCAAACUAAACAUCGAGGCCCAAUCGGUUCCGACGU